UCCUAGUGACGACGUGUGCUACGCCUAC
RNAcentral lists this small RNA (28 nucleotides) under Bombyx mori (domestic silkworm). RNAcentral describes it as "ovarian small RNA-27725". Lineage: Eukaryota; Metazoa; Arthropoda; Insecta; Lepidoptera; Bombycidae. The record is from RNAcentral.